This 398-nucleotide ribosomal RNA is filed under the name uncultured bacterium. Its description in RNAcentral is "bacterial SSU rRNA". It matches the Rfam family "Bacterial small subunit ribosomal RNA", at positions 29 to 431 of the family's 1533-position model. The record is from RNAcentral.
AUUAAACGCUGGCGGCAUGCCUUACACAUGCAAGUCGAACGGUAGCGCGGGCAACCUGGCGACGAGUGGCGAACGGGUGAGUAAAGCAUCGGAACGCGCCCUGGAAUGGGGGAGUAACGUAGCGAAAGUUACGCUAAUACCGCAUAUUCUGUGAGCAGGAAAGCAGGGAGUCGCAAGACCUUGCGUUCUGGGAGCGGCCGAUGUCGGAUUAGCUAGUUGGUGGGGUAAAAGCCUACCAAGGCGACGAUCCGUAGCGGGUCUGAGAGGAUGAUCCGCCACACUGGGACUGAGACACGGCCCAGACUCCUACGGGAGGCAGCAGUGGGGGAAUUUUGGACAAUGGGCGGAAGCCUGAUCCAGCCAUGCCGCGUGAGUGAAGAAGGCCUCGGUUGUAAGAC